CCUACGGGUGGCAGCAGUGAGGAAUAUUGGUCAAUGGGCGGAAGCCUGAACCAGCCAAGUCGCGUGAGGGAUUAAGGCCCUGCGGGUCGUAAACCUCUUUUGCCGGGGAGCAGAGUUCUGGACGUGUCCGGGCCUGUAUAGUCCCCGUAGAUAAAGCCUGGGCUAACCCCGGCCCGGCAGCCGCGGUAAUCCGGGGGAGGGGGGGGUUAUCCGAUUUUAUUGGGUUUAAGGGGUGCUUAGUGGGGCGUUAAAUCCGGCGGUAAAAUGUGGGGGCUCAACCCCGGCCUGCCGUUGAAACUGGGUGCCUUGAGUGGGCGAGAAGUGUGCGGAAUGCGUGGUGUAGCGGUGAAAUGCAUAGAUAUCACGAAGAACCCCGAUUGCGAAGGCAGCAUACCGGAGUGCUACUGACGCUGAGGCACGAAAGUGCGGGUAUCGAACAGGAUUAGAUACCCUAGUAGUC
This 460-nucleotide ribosomal RNA is filed under the name uncultured bacterium. Its description in RNAcentral is "partial 16S ribosomal RNA". It matches the Rfam family "Bacterial small subunit ribosomal RNA", at positions 338 to 795 of the family's 1533-position model. The record is from RNAcentral.